AGAUUGAACGCUGGCGGCGUGCUUAACACAUGCAAGUCGAGCGGUUACAGGUGUAGCAAUACAUGCUGACGAGCGGCGAACGGGUGAGUAAUGCUUUGGAAUCUACCUUUUAGUGGGGAAUAACCUGGGGAAACUCAGGCUAAUACCGCAUACGACCUACGGGUGAAAGCGGGGGAUCGCAAGACCUCGCGCUAAGAGAUGAGCCAAAGUCGGAUUAGCUAGUUGGUGAGGUAAAGGCUCACCAAGGCGACGAUCCGUAGCUGGUCUGAGAGGACGACCAGCCACACUGGAACUGAGACACGGUCCAGACUCCUACGGGAGGCAGCAGUGGGGAAUAUUGGACAAGUGGGGGACAACCCGUG
Molecule: ribosomal RNA, 362 nt
Filed under: uncultured soil bacterium
Lineage: Bacteria
Description: bacterial SSU rRNA
Rfam family: Bacterial small subunit ribosomal RNA
Source: RNAcentral